This 61-nucleotide transfer RNA is filed under the name Karaftohelix adamsi. RNAcentral describes it as "tRNA-Arg". The record is from RNAcentral. Lineage: Eukaryota; Metazoa; Mollusca; Gastropoda; Stylommatophora; Camaenidae.
AUUAAAACAGCUAUCGAGCAAUCAAGUUUCGGCCUUGAUCCUGGGUUAUUCCCUUUUAAUG